RNAcentral lists this unclassified non-coding RNA (353 nucleotides) under soil metagenome. Its description in RNAcentral is "partial contains 5.8S ribosomal RNA, internal transcribed spacer 2, and large subunit ribosomal RNA". The stretch from base 1 to 120 matches the Rfam family "5.8S ribosomal RNA", at positions 35 to 154 of the family's 154-position model. The record is from RNAcentral.
GAUGAAGAACUUAGCGAAAUGCGAUAAGUAAUGUGAAUUGCAGAAUUCCGUGAAUCAUCGAAUCUUUGAACGCACAUUGCGCCCGCCAGUAUUCUGGCGGGCAUGCCUGUUCGAGCGUCAUUACAACCCUCAGGCCCCCGGGCCUGGCGUUGGGGAUCGGCGGAAGCCCCCUGCGGGCACAACGCCGUCCCCCAAAUACAGUGGCGGUCCCGCCGCAGCUUCCAUUGCGUAGUAGCUAACACCUCGCAACUGGAGAGCGGCGCGGCCACGCCGUAAAACACCCAACUUCUGAAUGUUGACCUCGAAUCAGGUAGGAAUACCCGCUGAACUUAAGCAUAUCAAUAAGCGGAGGA